RNAcentral lists this ribosomal RNA (433 nucleotides) under uncultured bacterium. Its description in RNAcentral is "partial 16S ribosomal RNA". It matches the Rfam family "Bacterial small subunit ribosomal RNA", at positions 29 to 507 of the family's 1533-position model. The record is from RNAcentral.
AACGAACGCUGGCGGCAUGCCUAACACAUGCAAGUCGAACGAGACCUUCGGGUCUAGUGGCGCACGGGUGCGUAACGCGUGGGAAUCUGCCCUUGGGUUCGGGAUAACAGUUGGAAACGACUGCUAAUACCGGAUGAUGACUUCGGUCCAAAGAUUUAUCGCCCAGGGAUGAGCCCGCGUCGGAUUAGCUAGUUGGUGAGGUAAGAGCUCACCAAGGCGACGAUCCGUAGCUGGUCUGAGAGGAUGAUCAGCCACACUGGGACUGAGACACGGCCCAGACUCCUACGGGAAGCAGCAGUGGGGAAUAUUGGACAAUGGGCGAAAGCCUGAUCCAGCAAUGCCGCGUGAGUGAUGAAGGCCUUAGGGUUGUAAAGCUCUUUUACCCGGGAUGAUAAUGACAGUACCGGGAGAAUAAGCCCCGGCUAACUCCGUG